Molecule: long non-coding RNA, 432 nt
Filed under: Homo sapiens (human)
Lineage: Eukaryota; Metazoa; Chordata; Mammalia; Primates; Hominidae
Description: HSALNT0075081
Source: RNAcentral
CGCUCUCUCGCAGGCUCGCUCCUUCUCCUAGGUGAUCCAUUUCUAGGCAACGUGGGGCUGGUGCUGAAGCUGCCAGGCUCGCUCCUUGCUUCCUGCAUCCCGCCAGGCGAAACGCUCCAAAAGCAUCCUGCAGCCUGCGGCGGCUUCCCUCCUCUGGCCCGGCCCCGCUGCUCGCGCCCGGCGCAACCCCCCCGCCACCGCGCCCCAGCAAACCGGCUCCCCGGGCCCGCCUCGCCAAGCUGCGUUCCGCGCCUCACGCAGAAAGGGAAUUUUCUCUGCAUUACUAUCUGCAUUACCUUGAAGUUCACUUUUUCUACCCCUCUUGGAGAGGGCUUUUUUCCCCCCUCCCUGGUGGAAUCUGGCUGCUCCGUUUGGAAUCUCCUAAUCUUUCCUUUCCACUUAGAUUCUGGCAGCGAAGACCAGUGAUUCUCU